AACGAACGCUAGCGGCAGGCUUAACACAUGCAAGUCGAACGGUUGUAGCAAUACAGCAGUGGCAGACGGGUGAGUAACACGUGGGAACCUUCCUAGGGGUACGGAACAACUCAGGGAACUUGAGCUAAUACCGUAUACGUCCGUGAGGAGAAAGAUUUAUCACCCUUAGACGGGCCCGCGUCGGAUUAGCUAGUUGGUGGGUAACGGCCUACCAAGGCGACGAUCCGUAGCUGAUCUUAGAGGAUGAUCAGCCACACUGGGACUGAGACACGGCCCAGACUCCUACGGGAGGCAGCAGUGGGGAAUCUUGGACAAUGGGCGCAAGCCUGAUCCAGCCAUGCCGCGUGAGUGAAGAAGGUCUUCGGAUUGUAAAGCUCUUUGCCAGGGACGAUAAUGACGGUACCUGGAGAGUAAGCCCCGGCAAACUUCGUGCCAGCAGCCGCGGU
This 446-nucleotide ribosomal RNA is filed under the name uncultured bacterium. RNAcentral describes it as "bacterial SSU rRNA". It matches the Rfam family "Bacterial small subunit ribosomal RNA", at positions 29 to 521 of the family's 1533-position model. The record is from RNAcentral.